GCCGAGACUAGAGUCACAUCUGGACACUUGCCUGUUGUCCUGGUGUGCUAGAGUACUCGGACAGUAACCACUAAUCUAUAUUCACUGGCUGUGACCAUUCUUGACUCAGUCAGUCACCAGGUUAGUGACAAAA
Cuculus canorus (common cuckoo) is the source of this 133-nucleotide small nucleolar RNA. It matches the Rfam family "Small nucleolar RNA SNORA3/SNORA45 family". Rfam says of the family: The members of this family belong to the H/ACA class of snoRNAs which are thought to guide the sites of modification of uridines to pseudouridines. This family includes mouse snoMBI-28 and human homologues ACA3 (SNORA3) and ACA3-2 (SNORA45). NCBI's taxonomy places the organism in Eukaryota, Metazoa, Chordata, Aves, Cuculiformes, Cuculidae. The record is from Rfam.